RNAcentral lists this ribosomal RNA (736 nucleotides) under uncultured bacterium. Its description in RNAcentral is "bacterial SSU rRNA". It matches the Rfam family "Bacterial small subunit ribosomal RNA", at positions 8 to 741 of the family's 1533-position model. The record is from RNAcentral.
AGAGUUUGAUCAUGGCUCAGGAUGAACGCUGGCGGCGUGCCUAACACAUGCAAGUCGAACGAAGCAUUCCGGCCCGACAUCUUCGGAUAGAAAGCCGGUCUGACUGAGUGGCGGACGGGUGAGUAACGCGUGGAUAACCUGCCUCAUACAGGGGGAUAACAGUUAGAAAUGACUGCUAAUACCGCAUAAGCGCACGAUACCGCAUGGUAACGUGUGAAAAACUCCGGUGGUAUGAGAUGGAUCCGCGUCUGAUUAGCCAGUUGGCGGGGUAACGGCCCACCAAAGCGACGAUCAGUAGCCGACCUGAGAGGGUGACCGGCCACAUUGGGACUGAGACACGGCCCAAACUCCUACGGGAGGCAGCAGUGGGGAAUAUUGCACAAUGGGGGAAACCCUGAUGCAGCGACGCCGCGUGAGCGAAGAAGUAUUUCGGUAUGUAAAGCUCUAUCAGCAGGGAAGAAAAUGACGGUACCUGACUAAGAAGCUCCGGCUAAAUACGUGCCGGCAGCCGCGGUAAUACGUAUGGAGCAAGCGUUAUCCGGAUUUACUGGGUGUAAAGGGGAGCGUAGGCGGUACGGCAAGUCAGAAGUGAAAUGCCGGGGCUCAACCCCGGAACUGCUUUUUGAAACUGCCGGACUGGAUUGCAGGAGAGGUAAGUGGAAUUCCUAGUGUAGCGUUGAAAUGCGUAGAUAUUAGGAGAACACCAGUGGCGAAGGCGGCUUACUGGACUGUAAAU